GACGAACGCUGGCGGCGUGCUUAACACAUGCAAGUCGAACGGAAAGGCCCUGCUUUUGUGGGGUGCUCGAGUGGCGAACGGGUGAGUAACACGUGAGUAACCUGCCCUUGACUUUGGGAUAACUUCAGGAAACUGGGGCUAAUACCGGAUAGGAGCUCCUGCUGCAUGGUGGGGGUUGGAAAGUUUCGGCGGUUGGGGAUGGACUCGCGGCUUAUCAGCUUGUUGGUGGGGUAGUGGCUUACGAAGGCUUUGACGGGUAGCCGGCCUGAGAGGGGGACCGGCCACAUUGGGACUGAGAUAAGGCCCAGAAGCCUACGGGAGGCAGGAGUGGGGAAUAUUGCACAAUGGGCGGAAGCCUGAUGCAGCAACGCCGCGUGCGGGAUGACGGCCUUCGGGUUGUAAACCGCUUUCGCCUGUGACGAAGCGUGAGUGACGGUAAUGGGUAAAGAAGCACCGGCUAACUACGUG
This 468-nucleotide ribosomal RNA is filed under the name uncultured bacterium. Its description in RNAcentral is "partial 16S ribosomal RNA". It matches the Rfam family "Bacterial small subunit ribosomal RNA", at positions 28 to 507 of the family's 1533-position model. The record is from RNAcentral.